Molecule: ribosomal RNA, 476 nt
Filed under: uncultured bacterium
Lineage: Bacteria
Description: bacterial SSU rRNA
Rfam family: Bacterial small subunit ribosomal RNA
Source: RNAcentral
CGCUAGCGGCAGCUUAUACAUGCAAGUCGUGGGGCAGCAUGAGUAGCAAUACUUGAUGGCGACCGGCAAACGGGUGAGGAACACGUACACAACCUUCCUUCAAGCGGGGAAUAGCCCAGAGAAAUUUGGAUUAAUACCCAUAAUAUAUUUGAUAAGGCAUCUUAUUAAUAUUAAAGCUUCGGCACUUGAUGAUGGGUGUGCGGCUGAUUAGAUAGUUGGCGGGGUAACGGCCCACCAAGUCUACGAUCAGUAGCUGAUGUGAGAGCAUGAUCAGCCACACGGGCACUGAGACACGGGCCCGACUCCUACGGGAGGCAGCAGUAAGGAAUAUUGGACAAUGGACGAGAGUCUGAUCCAGCCAUGCCGCGUGAAGGAUUAAGGUCCUCUGGAUUGUAAACUUCUUUUAUAUGGGACGAAAAAAGGGCAUUCUUGUUCACUUGACGGUACCAUAUGAAUAAGCACCGGCUAACUCCGUG